GAAAUGCGAUAAGUAAUGUGAAUUGCAGAUUCCGUGAAUCAUCAAAUCUUUGAACGCAACUUGCACUCUGCGGUUCGCCGUAAGAGUAUGCCUGUUUGAGCAUCAGCAACACCCUCUCACCCAAGACUUUGUGUUUUGGACUUACAGUGAGGAGUUGAGUGUCUUUCUUGCCUUAGGCCGAACUCGGCAUAAACAACAAGAAAUCACUUGAAAUACAGAGAUGCUUGGGAAAACCGUAAACGCCCUUGGCUAAAUAACGAUGGAUUGAACAUCGCCAAUCAGCUUUGGGCAGGAUUUUCCCGAGGCUAGCUCGCCCACAAGCGCGCUACCUUGAUCUUCAAGAUCCCCUUGAAUUUGAUCUCAAAUCAGGCAAGACUACCCGCUGAACUUAA
Molecule: unclassified non-coding RNA, 392 nt
Filed under: uncultured fungus
Lineage: Eukaryota; Fungi
Description: sequence contains ITS1
Rfam family: 5.8S ribosomal RNA (bases 1-105)
Source: RNAcentral